AGCGUAGGCGGUUCCUUAAGUCAGAUGUGAAAUCUUUUGACUCAAUCAGAAGGUGUCAUUUGAUACUGAGGGGCUUGAGAGCAGCAGAGGGAAAUGGAAUUUCCGGUGUAGCGGUGAAAUGCGUAGAUAUCGGGAAGAACACCAGUGGCGAAGGCGAUUUCCCAGGUUGUUUCUGACGCUGAGGCUCGAAAGCGUGGGCAGCGAAGCGGAUUAGAUACCCGCGUAGUCCACGCCCUAAACGGUGGACACUAGAUAUAGGAGGUAUCGACCCUUUCUGUGUCGAAGCUAACGCUUUAAGUGUCCCGCCUGGGGAGUACGACCGCAAGGUUGAA
This 332-nucleotide ribosomal RNA is filed under the name uncultured bacterium. RNAcentral's name for it is "bacterial SSU rRNA". It matches the Rfam family "Bacterial small subunit ribosomal RNA", at positions 568 to 898 of the family's 1533-position model. The record is from RNAcentral.